Molecule: ribosomal RNA, 492 nt
Filed under: uncultured bacterium
Lineage: Bacteria
Description: partial 16S ribosomal RNA
Rfam family: Bacterial small subunit ribosomal RNA
Source: RNAcentral
AGUGAACGCUGGCGGUAGGCCUAACACAUGCAAGUCGAACGGCAGCACAGUAAGAGCUUGCUCUUACGGGUGGCGAGUGGCGGACGGGUGAGGAAUACAUCGGAAUCUACUUUUUCGUGGGGGAUAACGUAGGGAUACUUACGCUAAUACCGCAUACUACCUACAGGUGAAAGUAGGAGAUCUUUGGCACUUGCGCGAUUGUAUGAGCCGAUGUCGGAUUAGAUAGUUGGCGGGGUAAAGGCCCACCAAGGCGACGAUCCGUAGCUGGUCUGAGAGGAGGAUCAGCCACACUGGAACUGAAACACGGUCCAGACUCCUACGGGACGCAGCAGAGCGGAAUAUUGGACAAUGGGCGCAAGCCUGGUCCAGCCAUACCGCGUGGGUGAAGAAGUGCUUCGGGUUGUAAAUCCCUUUUGUUGGGAAAGAAAAGCAGCAGGUUAAUACCCCGCUGUUCUGACGGUACCCAAAGAAUAAGCACCGGCUAACUUCGUG